CUAAAGAAACUUAAGAGAGAAAUAAAUAAAACAAAUAGACAUAACAGCUUGUGAAGACCUGGCCUCAGGAUAGUCACAAGCAGAAGCCUCCAGGCACUUUACAUCGUUCCUUGUGUGAGAAAACCUCAGCCACAGAUAAAGAGCGUAAUUUUCUCCUUGAGGAAUGUAACAUAAGUCAUCUGACAGAGCCUGAGUGAUCUGGUCACUCACCGCAAGUGCUCCAGCAGCCUCUUCCUAAUGCAGAAGCUUCCUGGGAUUGCACGUUGGCAUUUGUUUGUGGAGAGGAAACUGAGGCUCUUGGGAAGGUGGAAGUUGCACGUGGUUCUCACAGUCAACUGUGCCAGAAUAGGAGGCCAGGAACAACCUCUGUUGGAGAAGGACCCACCAGGCAUCCUUUCAAGAAAGCCAAGGUCCACAAAGGAUCCCCAAGGAAGAUGUUAA
RNAcentral lists this long non-coding RNA (441 nucleotides) under Aotus nancymaae (Ma's night monkey). RNAcentral describes it as "lncRNA (ENSANAG00000038757.1)". Lineage: Eukaryota; Metazoa; Chordata; Mammalia; Primates; Aotidae. The record is from RNAcentral.